GACGAACGCUGGCGGCGUGCUUAACACAUGCAAGUCGAGCGGAGCGGCGAACGGGUGAGUAAGGCGUGAGUAAGUGCCCCACUCUCUGGGAUGACAGUUGGAAACGGCUGCUAAUACCGGAUAGUGGGGGAUGACUCGCGUCCUAUCAGCGUCGUGGUGGAGUAGUGGCCUACCAAGGCGACGACGGGUAGCGGGCCUGAGAGGGCGACCGGCCACAUUGGGCUGAGAUACGGCCCAAACUCCUACGGGGGGCAGCAGUGGGAAAUAUUGCACAAUGGGGGAAACCCUGAUGCAGCAACGCGCGUGCGGGAUGACGGCCUUCGGGUUAUAAACCGCUUUCAGCCAUGACGCUUUCCUGUCCUCAGAAGCACCGGCUAACUACGUGCCAGCAGCCGCGGUAAUAC
RNAcentral lists this ribosomal RNA (404 nucleotides) under uncultured bacterium. Its description in RNAcentral is "partial 16S ribosomal RNA". It matches the Rfam family "Bacterial small subunit ribosomal RNA", at positions 28 to 526 of the family's 1533-position model. The record is from RNAcentral.